GACGAACGCUGGCGGCGUGCUUAACACAUGCAAGUCGAGCGGUAAGGCCCUUCGGGGUACACGAGCGGCGAACGGGUGAGUAACACGUGAGUAACCUACCUCGAACUCUGGGAUAAGCCUGGGAAACUGGGUCUAAUACCGGAUGUUCAUCUCCUGCUGCAUGGUGGGGGAUGGAAAGUGUUUAGCGGUUCGGGAUGGGCUCGCGGCCUAUCAGCUUGUUGGUGAGGUAAUGGCUUACCAAGGCUUUUACGGGUAGCCGGCCUGAGAGGGCGACCGGCCACACUGGGACUGAGAUACGGCCCAGACUCCUACGGGAGGCAGCAGUGGGGAAUAUUGCGCAAUGGGCGGAAGCCUGACGCAGCAACGCCGUGUGAGGGAUGACGGCCUUCGGGUUGUAAACCUCUUUCACCAGGGACGAAGCUUUUGUGACGGUACCUGGGGAAGAAGCGCCGGCCAACUACGUGCCAGCAGCCGCGGUAACACGUAGGGCGCGAGCGUUGUCCGGAAUUAUUGGGCGUAAAGGGCUCGUAGGCGGUUUGUCGCGUCGAAAGUGAAAAUCCGGGGCUCAACUCCGGACUUGCUUUCGAUACGGGCAGGCUAGAGGUAGGCAGGGGAGAAUGGAAUUCCUGGUGUAGCGGUGGAAUGCGCAGAUAUCAGGAGGAACACCGGUGGCGAAGGGCGGUUCUCUGGGCCUUACCUGACGCUGAGGAGCGAAAGCGUGGGGAGCGAACAGGAUUAGAUACCCUGGUAGUCCACGCCCUAAACGAUGAUGACUCGAUGUUUGCGAUAUACAGUAAGCGUCCAAGCGAAAGCGUUAAGUCAUCCACCUGGGGAGUACGCCCGCAAGGGUGAAACUCAAAGGAAUUGACGGGGGCCCGCACAAGCGGAGGAGCAUGUGGUUUAAUUCGAUGAUACGCGAGGAACCUUACCCGGGCUUGAAAGUUACCGAAGUAUCCAGAGACGGAUACGUCCUUCGGGACAGGAAACUAGGUGCUGCAUGGCUGUCGUCAGCUCGUGCCGUGAGGUGUUGGGUUAAGUCCCGCAACGAGCGCAACCCCUAUGUUUAGUUGCCAGCAUUUCAGGUGGGGACUCUAAACAGACUGCCUGCGUAAGCAGUGAGGAAGGCGGGGACGACGUCAAGUCAUCAUGGCCCUUACGUCCGGGGCUACACACGUGCUACAAUGGACGGUACAGCGGGAAGCUACACAGCAAUGUGAUGCGAAUCUCGAAAAGCCGUUCACAGUUCGGAUCGGGGUCUGCAACUCGACCCCGUGAAGUUGGAUUCGCUAGUAAUCGCGUAUCAGCAAUGACGCGGUGAAUACGUUCCCGGGCCUUGCACACACCGC
This 1346-nucleotide ribosomal RNA is filed under the name uncultured bacterium. RNAcentral describes it as "partial 16S ribosomal RNA". It matches the Rfam family "Bacterial small subunit ribosomal RNA", at positions 28 to 1393 of the family's 1533-position model. The record is from RNAcentral.